RNAcentral lists this ribosomal RNA (194 nucleotides) under uncultured Moraxella sp. RNAcentral's name for it is "partial 16S ribosomal RNA". The record is from RNAcentral. Lineage: Bacteria; Pseudomonadati; Pseudomonadota; Gammaproteobacteria; Moraxellales; Moraxellaceae.
AUUACCGCGGCUGCUGGCACAGAGUUAGCCGGUGCUUAUUCUGCAGCUAAUGUCAUCGUCCAUGGGUAUUAACCAUGGAGUCUUCUUCACUGCUUAAAGUGCUUUACAACCAAAAGGCCUUCUUCACACACGCGGCAUGGCUGGAUCAGGGUUGCCCCCAUUGUCCAAUAUUCCCCACUGCUGCCUCCCGUAGG